This 713-nucleotide long non-coding RNA is filed under the name Brassica napus (rape). RNAcentral describes it as "long non-coding RNA (BNAP_LNC000623)". The record is from RNAcentral. Lineage: Eukaryota; Viridiplantae; Streptophyta; Magnoliopsida; Brassicales; Brassicaceae.
UGAUCUCUAAUGUGAAAAUAGUUUUUAUUUUCCUUAAAGUUAUAGAAUUGCAUUUAUGUAAAUUUAUUUUUAUUAUAGUAAUGCAAAAUAUUAAUAUUCAGAAAUUUAUAAGCAAUCUAUAGAUUAGUCUAUUAUUUUGUUAUGAGGAAUGUGAGACAUAACAAAGAAACACAUAGCUUUCAACCAAUUCACGGCAUCCCUUAUCAUUUUACAUGAAAGAGUUCCCACUUCUCAGCACAAAAAAAAAGAGAAUAAAACAAAGUUAAUCUUCUAUAUAUUUUUAUGGUUACCCCUAGCCGGAAGUAAAUAUCUCUACUGCUCUGCAUUGUCUCAUGAAGCAGCUGAUCAUUCAAUCCUUAUCAUAACCAUAAACGAAAUAUCUAUAAGCACAAUUUCUUAUAGUUACAAAGUAGUAUAAACUGAUUAAGACUCCCCAGAAUCCCUUCCUUCUACAUGUUUCCUCCUUAUCCUCGUACAAUCCAACAACUUGCAAAUACUGAACAAACAAACAUAGUAGAAAUCAGAUCGAAAAUAAAAUACAAUUAGUUCAACAAACAACUUAAGCAUGGUAAACCUUCUCGAGUUCUCGUGUUAUGAUUACAUCAAGCUCUGUGUUCCUCCCAGAAAGAGAGAUAUAGAUUCUAAUAAGCCUUAGCAACCCUAAGGCACGCUUUUUAAAACCCAGGGUUCUAUAAUACCAUACAUGUAUAUCA